UGAAAACCUGUUCAGUCCUUGCACUGUUGUAAGACUGAUUCCUGUGAAGAAACAGGCUGCUAAAAAGAGAACUGGUGAGCUCAAAGAAAGAUACCCACUUCUACCAUGUUCUAGGAAGACCUCUAUGUCAACAGUACAAAUAUAAGCAUGAUGCCAGAUGUUCUGAAAAUUUCCUUGGGUCCCUCUUUCUGAGAGUUCGGGAGUGAAAGGAGCUGAUUUGGUUUAAAGGUUCUCUGAAGAUUAAUAUUAUCCCUCAUUUGCAGAACCAUUAAAAACUUGUAAUCAAGCAAAUGAGAACGUAAAUGUAAGUACAAGAUUGAGUUGGUGCUUCAGUAUAUACACAAAAUCAUAUAUUUUCUGAAUCAUCAAGCAUAACUUAAUCCCUCAGGGAAGUCAUACUUGACCAGUCAUUUUGGUGAAUAUGCAGAAAUGCUGAUAAAAAUAAAAGAAAUAACUGGUUUUGAUGUGAUAAUGUUUUGGAUGUUUAUUUUUUGUUUGUUCUGGUCACAGUUUGCCAAGACUUACUAAUUUCAGAUCUUGGUGUGUAUUAAAACUGCUUUUCCAUAGCUUUAGAUACUGGAUUACUUCUGUCCACACAUUGUAUUUACUGUAAUCAUUUUUCUUUUUGGAAAUUGCUCUGGUUGUUAUCCAACAGAUAGAAAUUUUAGCAAUUACUUUUGCUAAAUGGGACAUCAGUUCUUCAAACAUGCUUUUCUCCUUAAAGCUGUUUCUGCAUUCAUAUUUUAGAACAUUUUAUUCAUCUUUAACUCAGGAAUGACCUUUGUCAGCUGUCACUGUCAACUAGGCAUUGCUGCUCUUGACAGUUACUGUCAGCUCUGAAGAGAUGUAAAUCUCUAUCCUAUAUUCCACAGGGAUGGAAAACUGAAGAUCUCUUAACUGGAAUACAUAGUGGAAUAAGAACAACCACCCACAUACACAGUAAAUACUAUUCCUUCAGAAAAUAACUUGUCCUACUUACUAUCUAAAAUAGGGACAAACAUUUAAUGUGACACAUAUUUAAAAUAGGUCAGAGUAACAUUUGGAGGAUGUAAUAAAAGGAAUUGUAAAAAGUUCAUAUGUUCUGGCAUGGUUAGAGAUUCUGUAUAGUGCAGUAAAACACAAAAUUAUUAGCAAAAGCCACCUGAGAAAUAAUUUUUCCCCCCCUACUCUAUAUUUUCUGAUUUGUGUAGUCAAAAACAGUGCAUAAGGAUUUUUCUAUUCACAAAUUUGUAAUAAUUAUAGAAUUUGUACACGUAUAAUUACUCACUGGUAAUAACUGAUAAAAUACUCACUGGUAAUAACUGAUGGUUUUGAAUGUGCGUCUUCAUUAAUUCUAUUCGACCAAGAAGCCUAGAAUUCAGCAAAUCAUCACAGGACCACAUUACUUGAGAAGUCUCCUUGAAUAUUCACUAGGUUGACAAAUCAAAGGACAAGCCUGAUUGAGAAUUACAUAAUCCUCAGUUUUAUUUUUUAGUUUCUCAGCUAAAAAAUGAAGGAAAUGGAGGAAAACAGUAGAAACAAAGACAGUGCCUUAGCUUUUUAACAUUAUCAUGAUCUUUGAAAAUUUGAGACAAAAGAAUGUGUUGAGGCUGGUAUUUAAAUGCAAUGAAUGAUUUGGAACCCAAUGCCACAGGACAUUGUUGGUCGGAAAGCUUUGCAAGCCAGAUCAGUCUGAGGAUUGUCUUUCUUGAAUGUGUUUGCCUGUGUCCAUGUUUGUGUGUGCAUUUGUGUGUAAACAUCCAGAGAAAGAGAGAACUCUACACAGAUUCAAGAGAUUAAUUUAAUGUAUGUAUUCUAAUUUUUAUGUUUUGUUUUUCUGUAUCAAAGUUGCAAGGAUGAGUCAGUGCCUUUCACUGCUUUUAAGUCCCUGUGUUAUGGACCUGGGACAGUUUGUGAGGAAACCUAGAAGGCAGAUGCAGAGCAGGAGAAAGAGUAAUUUUUUUCUUCUUUCUGUUCUGCAUGAGUAUUCUGAAGGAGUAGAAUAUGGGAGGAAAAAGCAAACUCCUACAGUCCUUUUCUCUAACAUUGAAAUUUUCUUCCUGAUCUUAAUCUAUUGGGUUAUGGGGCAGUCCUGGAGAAUCGAAAACUUGUGACUGUCAGUUUUUCUUUUCCCUUGCUCUGUUCCUCUUCUUUGGUAAGUCUCCAUAAAGUCAGGAAUAAUGUGGCCUUAAUCAACUUUUCUUGUUAAGAACUAGGUAACGGAGGAAAAAUAGUUAUUUCUGUAGCUCUUGAGGAAUACAAUAAUCAUGAGAUUUGAUCAGGGAAAGUUUUAUUAACCACUUAUAUACUUUUCUAUUAACACUGCCCCCUGGAAGUAAUUCUUAGAAAUGAAAGCUGAGAUUCAAUUGGGCUAGAAAUGGGCAUCCAAGGGGAGUUCUAUUUGGAUUUCUCUUUGUUUUCAUUUUAGGAAAUUCAAAUCACUGGAGCAUUCAAAUCUUAAAAGCCUCAAUAGGCUAACAUUACUGGUUAAUAUGAAGUUGCUUCCACAAACCAAGAAUACUAAAGCUAAGACAAACCUAGUCCCAAAUGAGCAAUCUUCAUGCUAAGUGUCUUCUUCUGCUAUAAAUCCACACAUGUAUCUUUCCAUAAUGUCAAUGGAAAUCCUCUGGUAGACUAGAGUAAUAUCUGUCCCUAAGGAAACAGAUGAUUCAGAUCUUGAAGAGUAGCUACUAAACGAAACACAUCACAGUUCAGACGAUUUAGUCAUUUCAUUAACGUUAAGUGCCUUUUACCCUGGUGAAAUAGAUAUAAAAAGAAUAUGAUAUUGAUUUUAAAGUAAAAAUUCAGUCAAUAUUUUCCAGAGAAAAAAUCUGAAGAUAUUUAGAAAAUGUUAUUAACAUAGUUAACAGAGUAUGAAACCUUAGUUGUGAUGGUCAAGCAAAGGAAGUUACUAACAGUCUGAGAUAUCCACAAAAGGAAAAACAUGGGUCUUUUCUAUCCCACAGAAGUAGCUAUCACCACUAUCAAUUUUUCUUUUCUUUUCUUUCUUUUUCUUUUUUGAAAGACCACAGAGUAUAUAUCACAACCACAACUCUGUCUCCUUUUCCCUUGUAUAGACAUGCCUAUUUAUUAGGUUUCUGGCAAAUUUCCAGCCACCUCCAGCAGUGAUAGUUUGUUUGCUGUGUGCAGCACUAGGCACUUUCAAUUUGAAAGAUCAAUUUGAGGUGGUGAUAUUUCAAAAUUUGGAUCUCUUUUUUGUCAGCUGUCAGAGAUAGCGCCUGCUUGAACAGAACUACUUAUCAAUACUGGUCAGAAAAAUAAAAAAUAAAAAAAAGAAGAAAAGAUUUUUACAAAUUUGGUUUCAGUAUUUUUCCUGUAUGUUUAAGUCUUUUUUUUUUUUUUUGAAAGUUCAAAUAGAUUUCUUAGAAAAUCUUUGUUAGAAAUGAAAAAUGUAUAUUUCCUUUCAACCAUUUUUGACAUCUCUCAAGUUUUCCGAUUAUUUUUUGACAACCCAGCUGUACUCCAAACUGCUUGUUUAUCUUGAAAUAUAUAUAUAAAUGAUCUGAGAAAAAGAGAUAGAAAAUAGGAACUGAAAAUAUAUCAGCAAAGAGGCAAUGAUGCUACUUAUAACAAUGAUUACUUUGGUAGCUAUGGUGCUGGCAAUUUUUUCUUUUUGAAAAAAAAAGCUAUAAUGCUGCAAAAGGCACAUAACAAACAAAAUUUAAACUAGGGUAACUUCCAGACUUGAUCAUAGUAUUAGAAGAGAUUCAGACUUCC
Molecule: long non-coding RNA, 3717 nt
Filed under: Gallus gallus (chicken)
Lineage: Eukaryota; Metazoa; Chordata; Aves; Galliformes; Phasianidae
Source: RNAcentral